CAGUCGCCGCGGUAAUACGAAGGGGGCUAGCGUUGCUCGGAAUCACUGGGCGUAAAGGGUGCGUAGGCGGGUCUUUAAGUCAGGGGUGAAAUCCUGGAGCUCAACUCCAGAACUGCCUUUGAUACUGAAGAUCUUGAGUAUGGGAGAGGUGAGUGGAACUGCGAGUGUAGAGGUGAAAUUCGUAGAUAUUCGCAAGAACACCAGUGGCGAAGGCGGCUCACUGGCCCAUAACUGACGCUGAGGCACGAAAGCGUGGGGAGCAAACAGGAUUAGAUACCCCAGUAGUCCCUGUCUCUUAUAC
Molecule: ribosomal RNA, 301 nt
Filed under: uncultured bacterium
Lineage: Bacteria
Description: partial 16S ribosomal RNA
Rfam family: Bacterial small subunit ribosomal RNA
Source: RNAcentral